UCCUACGGGGGGCAGCAGUGGGGAAUAUUGGUCAAUGGGCGAGAGCCUGAACCAGCCAAGUCGCGUGAGGGAAGACGGUCCUAUGGAUUGUAAACCUCUUUUGCCGGGGAGCAAAAAGCGGUACGUGUACCGCAUCGAGAGUACCCGGAGAAAAAGCAUCGGCUAACUCCGUGCCAGCAGCCGCGGUAAUACGGAGGAUGCGAGCGUUAUCCGGAUUUAUUGGGUUUAAAGGGUGCGCAGGCGGCGAGUUAAGUCAGCGGUAAAAUUUCGGGGCUCAACCCCGACAAGCCGUCGAAACUGGCUUG
RNAcentral lists this ribosomal RNA (305 nucleotides) under uncultured bacterium. Its description in RNAcentral is "bacterial SSU rRNA". It matches the Rfam family "Bacterial small subunit ribosomal RNA", at positions 337 to 640 of the family's 1533-position model. The record is from RNAcentral.